RNAcentral lists this ribosomal RNA (438 nucleotides) under uncultured bacterium. RNAcentral describes it as "bacterial SSU rRNA". It matches the Rfam family "Bacterial small subunit ribosomal RNA", at positions 335 to 768 of the family's 1533-position model. The record is from RNAcentral.
ACUCCUACGGGAGGCAGCAGUGAGGAAUAUUGGUCAAUGAGGCAACUCUGAACCAGCCACGCCGCGUGCAGGAAGACUGCCCUAUGGGUUGUAAACUGCUUUUAUUACAGGAAGAAACAAGUCGUACGAGUACGACCUUGACGGUACUGUAGGAAUAAGCACCGGCUAACUCCGUGCCAGCAGCCGCGGUAAUACGGAGGGGUGCAAGCGUUAUCCGGAAUCAUUGGGUUUAAAGGGUCCGCAGGCGGUCAAUUAAGUCAGAGGUGAAAUCCCAUAGCUUAACUAUGGAACUGCCUUUGAUACUGGUUGACUUGAGUUAUACGGAAGUAGAUAGAAUAAGUAGUGUAGCGGUGAAAUGCAUAGAUAUUACUUAGAAUACCGAUUGCGAAGGCAGUCUACUACGUAUAUACUGACGCUCAUGGACGAAAGCGUGGGGAG